ACGGAAGGCAGCGGUGGGGGAUAUUGCACAAUGGGGGAAACCCUGACGCAGCAACGCCGCGUGAAGGAAGAAGGUCUUCGGAUUGUAAACUUUUGUCUUCAAGGAAGAUAAUGACAGUACUUGGGGAGGAAGCUCCGGCUAACUACGUGCCAGCAGCCGCGGUAAUACGUAGGGAGCAAGCGUUGUCCGGAAUUACUGGGUGUAAAGGGUGCGUAGGCGGGUAUGCAAGUCAUAUGUGAAAUACCGGGGCUUAACUCCGGAGCUGCAUAAGAAACUGUAUAUCUUGAGUGCAGGAGAGGUAAGCGGAAUUCCUAGUGUAGCGGUGAAAUGCGUAGAUAUUAGGAGGAACACCAGUGGCGAAGGCGGCUUACUGGACUGUAACUGACGCUGAGGCACGAAAGCGUGGGGAGCAAACAGGAUUAGCCCUGGUA
Molecule: ribosomal RNA, 431 nt
Filed under: uncultured Oscillospiraceae bacterium
Lineage: Bacteria; Bacillati; Bacillota; Clostridia; Eubacteriales; Oscillospiraceae
Description: partial 16S ribosomal RNA
Rfam family: Bacterial small subunit ribosomal RNA
Source: RNAcentral